AAUCUGUGUGAUAUUUAAUGUCAUUAAAAGGAGAAUUAUUAGUUGGCAAAACACAUUAUUUCUCAUACCCAAAUGUAUGGCAAAAUGGAAGAUUUACUAAAUGAUAAUCAUCUUUGUAAUGAGGUUUAUGUAAGAGUCCGUAGUAUAAACUUGCCAAAAAAACAGCAUAAACCUUGCAUUAAUUUAGUGUUUUAGAUGUAUCUUUAAUGAGAAGACAUCUUAAUAGCUCACCUUUGACCUCUCAAUAAUAAUAAGAAAUAAGAUACAUGUUAUUGCCAAAUUUUAUUAUGAUUCCCAUGAAAUACCCCUGACACAGACCCUGCAUUUAGGCUUUGCAGAUGUAAACUCUCGAUAGAUCUUUGUCUUUCAUCGUUGGUGAUUCGUGUGUCAAGGACGCCAUUGUAUUUUCUGUCAAAACAAAGUGCUAAGACAUGCAUAGAAACCGAAGACUAUUUAAACUAGACAAAUACUCAUUUCAGGUUGUAGAGGAAAGUCCUUAAUGCUGAAAAUCUUGUUAUGAUUGUAUAUCACUU
Molecule: long non-coding RNA, 533 nt
Filed under: Bos taurus (domestic cattle)
Lineage: Eukaryota; Metazoa; Chordata; Mammalia; Artiodactyla; Bovidae
Description: long non-coding RNA NONBTAT014172
Source: RNAcentral